UGUUGUGUCUGAUGUUUUGGGUGAUGUUAUGUUGUUGCUAUAUGGAGUUUUUUUUUUGUUUUUGGAAAUUAUGUAAUGUGUGGCAGUCCUCAUUGAUGCAUGUUUUGUAAUAUUUAGGGCUCUUAAAUAGUUCCUUGGAUUUGGUCAUUAUCUCAGCUAUCACAGCUGUGUAUGAUGAUGGUUUGUACUUCCUGAAUAUUAUGUUUUAACAUGCUUA
Molecule: long non-coding RNA, 217 nt
Filed under: Lathyrus oleraceus (garden pea)
Lineage: Eukaryota; Viridiplantae; Streptophyta; Magnoliopsida; Fabales; Fabaceae
Description: Pisum sativum (pea) long non-coding RNA (PSAT_LNC007876)
Source: RNAcentral